This is a small nuclear RNA of 191 nucleotides. Its record names the gene U2. It matches the Rfam family "U2 spliceosomal RNA". From Rfam's summary of the family: U2 is a small nuclear RNA (snRNA) component of the spliceosome (involved in pre-mRNA splicing). The record is from Ensembl.
AUCGCUUCUCGGCCUUUUGGCUAAGAUCAAGUGUAGUAUCUGUUCUUAUCAGUUUAAUAUCUGAUACGUCCCCCAGCGGGGGACUACAUAUUAAGCGGAUUUUUAGAACAGGGAGUAGGCAAAGGAGCUUGCUCCAUCCACUCCACGCAUCGACCCAGUAUUGCAGUGCCUCUGGGAGCGGUGCACUUUCU